ACGGGAGGCAGCAGUGGGGGAUAUUGCACAAUGGGGGGAACCCUGAUGCAGCGACGCCGCGUGAGCGAAGAAGUGCUUCGGCAUGUAAAGCUCUAUCAGCAGGGAAGAAAAUGACGGUACCUGACUAAGAAGCCCCGGCUAACUACGUGCCAGCAGCCGCGGUAAUACGUAGGGGGCAAGCGUUAUCCGGAUUUACUGGGUGUAAAGGGAGCGCAGGCGGUUCUGCAAGCCAGAGGUGAAAACCCGGGGCUCAACCCCGUGAUUGCCUUUGGAACUGUAGGACUUGAGUACUGGAGGGGCAGGCGGAAUUCCUGGUGUAGCGGUGAAAUGCGUAGAUAUCAGGAGGAACACCGGUGGCGAAGGCGGCCUGCUGGACAGAAACUGACGCUGAGGCUCGAAAGCGUGGGGAGCAAACAGGAUUAGAUACCCUGGUA
RNAcentral lists this ribosomal RNA (434 nucleotides) under uncultured Lachnospiraceae bacterium. RNAcentral describes it as "bacterial SSU rRNA". It matches the Rfam family "Bacterial small subunit ribosomal RNA", at positions 341 to 792 of the family's 1533-position model. Lineage: Bacteria; Bacillati; Bacillota; Clostridia; Lachnospirales; Lachnospiraceae. The record is from RNAcentral.